RNAcentral lists this long non-coding RNA (1099 nucleotides) under Marmota monax (woodchuck). The record is from RNAcentral. Lineage: Eukaryota; Metazoa; Chordata; Mammalia; Rodentia; Sciuridae.
UGGGAUUGAGUUCUGGGUUGGCCUUGGACAGGUUUUACCUAAGUUCUGCCAGCUCCACCACCUAACGGCUUGCGGUUGGCCAAACCACAGGGCUAAACAUUGGAAGAUUUUCCCUCUCUCCGAACCCCUCUUCCUAGAGUGGACCCAGGCUAAAGCCUGGUAAUAAUCCACAGGGUAAAAGAUGGGGUGGAGGUUUGUUUCAACAUAGUCAGAGACAGGAGCUUUACAAAAAGGCAGUCAUUCCCCACUGGGAAAAGACAAUAUUGAAAUAAGACGGCCUGGUAGGUGUUCUCCCUGUGAAACAGCUGCCCCGGCCCCGAGCCACCCAGUGCGGAGGCUGGUGGGGACUGAAUGAGUGACUGGCCACCUGACAACCUGCCAGGGGCUGAGAAGAAGAGGGUGGGAGAAGAGGGUGGGAGAAGAGGUGGGAGAAGGAGGAAGCCAAGCAGGAUGGAGGUGCUGGAAGCCAAGUCUGCAGCCUGCAACACCAGUGCUCAGCAAUACAUGAUCCCCCACAUAAAACCCAGAGCAGAGCGCUUGCUUUCCGGCUCCUCAGCUGUGAUUCAGCCUUGGACCUUGCAAUGAGACUCCAUCUGCCCUGGUGUUUUCCUGAGCUUAUCAGGGGCCUUAGGCUUCUGUUAUUCCUGCCACCUAUCUGUGAGUGAUAAAGUUGAUCUGGGUGACUUGUGCAACCCUUUUGUCUCACUGUUUUCCUUCUUGGGCAGCUGGAUUUAGGCAAAAACCUCCUGCCAGAUCUAGAAACCGGAGCAGAAGCUCUCAAGGCGUUGAGCCUCCUCAAGGAGGUGGUGCGAGGGCCCCAGGUGCGUGGCAUCCAUUCACACACAGUAGAUCCAUUCACACACAGUAGAUCCCAAUUAGAAAGGGACUCCCUGAAGUUGCAUGCAGGGUGCCUGGAGCUGGGAGGAGGGAGCGGAAGCUACAAUUUUCACUGCAGCUCCCAAUCUCCGUGGGCGAUGCCUGCUGUGGGCCUGAACUAAAAUAAAGAGGAAUAGUGUCCACGUUCCUGGACUCCAAGUGCCUUGCUUUACUUUACAGGAAAGCUGUUUAAAGGGGUUAUCUAGGGGUUGACCAAUUAGGU